GGGGGCGAAAUUGGCUUCGACAGGGAUAGUGAACUUUUAGUAGCGAGCAGUUGUGAGGAACAACUUUAAAAGUCUCAAAACAAAUAAACGACAAUAAUAAUAGUUUAGCUUACGCAGCUUAAUAGCGUCAUCUGAACCUUGAGGCCCACGUCAAGGGGAAGGUGUCAAAACCUGUGGGAAACAAAGCUUGGCAAGACUUCAUAGCCAAGGGGGUAAUUAUGAGGUUAUAGUUUAAAUUGUUUGUCUUUAGAAAAUUUAAACAGAAUAUUAAAUAAAGACUGCGCUCGGAGAAAUUAUUAGGAAUCUAUUUUUGGACGCGGGUUCAACUCCCGCCGCUUCCACCA
Peptoniphilus sp. BV3C26 is the source of this 344-nucleotide non-coding RNA. It matches the Rfam family "transfer-messenger RNA". From Rfam's summary of the family: Bacterial tmRNA, also known as 10Sa RNA or SsrA, is named for its dual tRNA and mRNA-like properties. Its role is to liberate the mRNA from a stalled ribosome. To accomplish this part of the tmRNA is used as a reading frame that ends in a translation stop signal. NCBI's taxonomy places the organism in Bacteria, Bacillati, Bacillota, Tissierellia, Tissierellales, Peptoniphilaceae. The record is from Rfam.